This 504-nucleotide ribosomal RNA is filed under the name uncultured microorganism. RNAcentral describes it as "bacterial SSU rRNA". It matches the Rfam family "Bacterial small subunit ribosomal RNA", at positions 9 to 511 of the family's 1533-position model. The record is from RNAcentral.
GAGUUUGAUCUUGGCUCAGAUUGAACGCUGGCGGCAGGCCUAACACAUGCAAGUCGAGCGGAUGAAGGGAGCUUGCUCCUGGAUUCAGCGGUGGACGGGUGAGUAAUGCCUAGGAAUCUGCCUGGUAGUGGGGAUAACGUCCGGAACGGGCGCUAAUACCGCAUACGUCCUGAGGGAGAAAGUGGGGAGUCUUCGGACCUCACGCUAUCAGAUGAGCCUAGGUCGGAUUAGCUAGUUGGUGGGUAAAGGCCUACCAAGGCGACGAUCCGUAACUGGUCUGAGAGGAUGAUCAGUCACACUGGAACUGAGACACGGUCCAGACUCCUACGGGAGGCAGCAGUGGGGAAUAUUGGACAAUGGGCGAAAGCCUGAUCCAGCCAUGCCGCGUGUGUGAAGAAGGUCUUCGGAUUGUAAAGCACUUUAAGUUGGGAGGAAGGGCAGUAAGUUAAUACCUUGCUGUUUUGCCGUUACCAACAGAAUAAGCACCGGCUAACUUCGUGCCAG